CGGGGGGCAGCAGUAGGGAAUAUUGGACAAUGGGCGAAAGCCUGAUCCAGCAAUGCCGCGUGAGUGAUGAAGGCCUUAGGGUCGUAAAGCUCUUUUACCAGGGAUGAUAAUGACAGUACCUGGAGAAUAAGCUCCGGCUAACUCCGUGCCAGCAGCCGCGGUAAUACGGAGGGAGCUAGCGUUGUUCGGAAUUACUGGGCGUAAAGCGUACGUAGGCGGUUAUUCAAGUCAGAGGUGAAAGCCCGGGGCUCAACCCCGGAACUGCCUUUGAAACUAGGUAGCUAGAAUCUUGGAGAGGUCAGUGGAAUUCCGAGUGUAGAGGUGAAAUUCGUAGAUAUUCGGAAGAACACCAGUGGCGAAGGCGACUGACUGGACAAGUAUUGACGCUGAGGUACGAAAGCGUGGGGAGCAAACAGGAUUAGAUACCCGAGU
Molecule: ribosomal RNA, 432 nt
Filed under: uncultured Sphingomonadaceae bacterium
Lineage: Bacteria; Pseudomonadati; Pseudomonadota; Alphaproteobacteria; Sphingomonadales; Sphingomonadaceae
Description: bacterial SSU rRNA
Rfam family: Bacterial small subunit ribosomal RNA
Source: RNAcentral